AAAGUAGACCGCCUUAUCGCUGCGCUUUAUGCGCGGAGGAAAGUCCGGACACCGUAGAGCAGCAUAGUGGGUAACGCCCACCAGUCGGAAGAUUAGGACAAGUGCAACAGAAAGUAUGUACAGGUAAUGCUGUAGUGAAAACAGGUAAACUCUAUGCGGUGCAAUGCCAUGUAUACCGGUAUUUAAGAACUGCUCGUUCGCGCCGGAGGGUAGGCAGCUAGAGAUUUUUGGUAACAGAAAUAUAAGAUAAAUGAUAAGGUCUUUUUGAAAGUGGAAGGGGUUACCUUUUCAACUCAAAGAGAACAGAAUCCGGCUUAUAGGUCUGCUUUUUAU
RNAcentral lists this RNase P RNA (333 nucleotides) under Gillisia lutea. RNAcentral's name for it is "RNase P RNA component class A". It matches the Rfam family "Bacterial RNase P class A". From Rfam's summary of the family: Ribonuclease P (RNase P) is a ubiquitous endoribonuclease, found in archaea, bacteria and eukarya as well as chloroplasts and mitochondria. Lineage: Bacteria; Pseudomonadati; Bacteroidota; Flavobacteriia; Flavobacteriales; Flavobacteriaceae. The record is from RNAcentral.